UAGGGAAUCUUCGGCAAUGGACGAAAGUCUGACCGAGCAACGCCGCGUGAGUGAAGAAGGUUUUCGGAUCGUAAAACUCUGUUGUUAGAGAAGAACAAGGACGUUAGUAACUGAACGUCCCCUGACGGUAUCUAACCAGAAAGCCACGGCUAACUACGUGCCAGCAGCCGCGGUGAUACGUAGGUGGCAAGCGUUGUCCGGAUUUAUUGGGCGUAAAGCGAGCGCAGGCGGUUUCUUAAGUCUGAUGUGAAAGCCCCCGGCUCAACCGGGGAGGGUCAUUGGAAACUGGGGGACUUGAGUGCAGAGGAGGAGAGUGGAAUUCCAUGUGUAGCGGUGAAGUGCGAAGAAAUAUGGAGGAAAACCAGUGGCGAAGGCGGCUCUCUGGUCUGUAACUGACGCUGAGGAUCGAAAGCGUGGGGAGCAAACAGA
RNAcentral lists this ribosomal RNA (429 nucleotides) under Gemmatimonadota bacterium. RNAcentral describes it as "Gemmatimonadetes bacterium partial 16S ribosomal RNA". It matches the Rfam family "Bacterial small subunit ribosomal RNA", at positions 355 to 776 of the family's 1533-position model. Lineage: Bacteria; Pseudomonadati; Gemmatimonadota. The record is from RNAcentral.